CUACUGAAGGACUAGUGGUUAGGCCACAGCACUCUCACUGUUGUGGCCCGGGUUCAAUUCCUGGCCAGGGAA
Pangasianodon gigas (Mekong giant catfish) is the source of this 72-nucleotide non-coding RNA. Lineage: Eukaryota; Metazoa; Chordata; Actinopteri; Siluriformes; Pangasiidae. The record is from the annotation of a GenBank genome assembly.